This 460-nucleotide ribosomal RNA is filed under the name uncultured bacterium. RNAcentral describes it as "partial 16S ribosomal RNA". It matches the Rfam family "Bacterial small subunit ribosomal RNA", at positions 338 to 795 of the family's 1533-position model. The record is from RNAcentral.
CCUACGGGUGGCUGCAGUGAGGAAUAUUGGUCAAUGGACGAAAGUCUGAACCAGCCAAGUAGCGUGAAGGAUGACUGCCCUGUGGGUUGUACACUUCUUUUAUAGAGGAAUAAAACGAGGCACGUGUGCCUUUUUGCAUGUACUUUAUGAAUAAGGAUCGGCUAACUCCGUGCCAGCAGCCGCGGUAAUACGGAGGAUCCGAGCGUUAUCCGGAUUUAUUGGGUUUAAAGGGAGCGUAGAUGGGUUGUUAAGUCAGUUGUGAAAGUGUGCGGCUCAACCGUAAAAUUGCAAUUGAUACUGGCAGUCUAGAGUACAGUUGAGGUAGGCGGAAUUCGUGGUGUAGCGGUGAAAUGCGUAGAUAGCACGAAGAACCCCGAUGGCGAAGGCAGCUUACUAAACUGUGACUGACAUUGAUGCUCGAAAGUGUGGGUAGCAAACAGGAUUAGAUACCCCUGUAGUC